Molecule: long non-coding RNA, 2911 nt
Organism: Papaver somniferum (opium poppy)
Lineage: Eukaryota; Viridiplantae; Streptophyta; Magnoliopsida; Ranunculales; Papaveraceae
Exons: 4
Source: RefSeq, a predicted model, not a curated record
GAGUUGAAUCUUCAGCUAGUCCUGAUUAAAGUUUAGACACUAGAAUUGACUCGAGACAAAUAAUUUCUUUCUUUAAUCCAUAUGCACGGACCUCCCGUGGGCUGUUCUAUUCAUUCGUGUAAUUUCAUUAGACGAUGGAAGAAACUACUCUCAACAUCGGAGAAGUAACAAAAUUUGGUUUUGGGAUCUUGAUGUUAAAAUUCAAACUUCUUCACUAGCUUUCAUUUUAUUCAUUUGUUCUUUAUCCAUCAGGAAAUCCAAUGGGUCCACACAGCCCACAUUCUUAACAAAAUGAGAUUGAAUGCGCUCUUUAAAAGCAACAGAAGAGCAACACUCAGAACUUGUGUAGAAACAGAGAAAGAGUUAAGAAGAAAACCAUGGAAUCCCCUCCAAAGAAAGUCAGUAUGUAUGAUGUGGAUGAAGCGGGUUUGUUGCAAAUUCAAGCUGUCGUGAUCUGUUGCUAAUUUAGUUACAGCUCGCAACAGUUACUAAGACGUUGCAAACUUUUGUCGCAAUACAUUGUUAACCCGCAAAAAUGGUGUUGUGAUUAGUACAAUUCUCACAUCUUUUUACGUUUAAUUUCUCUAAAUUUUGUGGUCCCACUGUUAAUGGGGUUACCAAUUAGUUUGAGAUCUACCAGGAUCCUUAUAAAACAAACCAUCCCCAAACAUUGUCUGGAGUGUACCAAUUAUUCAAAAAAAAAAAAAUACUGCCAAAUCUUUAUGCCUAUGACAUUGGACAAAGAUAAGGAUAUCGAUGAUGAUGAUGAUGGUAAUGGAGAUAAAGAUAAGGAUAUCGAAGAUGAAAUUAUUGAAGAGGCAGUGGAAGAAGAAGAAGAAGAAGAAGAAGAAGUAGAAGAAGAAGAAGAUGGAGAUGGAGAAAAAACUCUAGCUAUUGUUCAACAAACCGAAGCUUCAACUUCAACUAAAACCGGAAAGAAGAAGAGGGUUAUCAGUAAACCAGCUAAUUCCCACAUGCCUCCCCCUCACUUGAUGGUUACACUGGAAAAAGGUGAGCUUCCAAGGGGGACCCCAAGAGAUGGUGGAAAUGUUCUUUUUGGAUACAAAGACUCAUGGGCAUGUACAAUCCAUAAUACUAUCGAUCACAAGCAUGCCGCCCGUCUUCCAAGCUUCAUGUUCAGUGACUAAGACUUGGAAUCUUGAUCUAGAAUGUGAGGAGGUGCAAGUGAUUGUCAGGAACUCCGGGUUGUGGCAUGCGGUGGAGAGUUCGAAUAUUGAGCAUGAUAGAUUUACCGUAUCUGCAUUCUGUGAGAGGUUCUACGGAAAUACUGAUACAAUGUUAUUCCCAUUCGGUGAGAUGGCGAUAACUCCCGAUGAUGCUCAUCAAAUUCUAGGCCUCGAGGUUGAUGGAAAAGCAGUCAGUGAGGGAUUCAAUAAUAAUUUUUCUUUCAAGGAUAUUUAAAAAUGGAGCCAGAAAUUGUUCGGUUGGAAUCAAAUUGAGACGAAGUCUAUGCUUGAGAAGAAGGAUGGUCGUCUAAGCAAGAAGUUUAAUCUGAAGAAGUUGAGGGACACGUUAUGGGAGACAAAGAAAAUCUUUGAUAAGGAAGGAAGGGUGAACCUGGUGCGAAUCAAUGCUACCGCGUCAGCUUAUUUUCUAUACGUCCUGGGCAAAUUAUCUUCCCUGACAGUUCCGUAAGCUUGGUCGACGCCAGUUACUUGCAACUAUUGGAUCCCUUAGAUAAGAUGCGUGAGUAUUCUUGGCGUACUAUAGUGGUCGCCUUCUUGAACAAUGACUUGACAAAGGGUUCUAGGGAACUCACUGCGCAAGUUAACGGAAACACAUGUCUCUUCCAGGUUUGGAUAUAUGAGCACUUCCUAUCUUUGUUCAAAACCAACUCCUACGUCACAGUGGAUGCGAAUGUUGUGGUUGAUAAGUCAAGAGCGCAAAGGUACAUUUUUAAGGGUACUCAGGAUAAGGACAUGCCACAAAAUUUUAUCAAACUCCGUAUCGAGAUGCUAGAAAACAAGGUUUAAUCCAAAGGAGAGAUGAAGUUGCAUUAUACUACGGACCCUUGUUGUGCUCACCGGGAUAUUCAAUGUACGAUCCACAUCGGGUAAUGCGACAAUUGGGUCGUCCAAGAAGAACCUCAUUUCGAUGAAGAAAAGAAGUUCUUUACUUUGUUAAAGGAUGACUGCUCCACGUCCUGAAAAACUAUUAACGUCGCUUACGCUCCACUGCCAGCUUUAGAAUAUUGGGACGAUAGAUGUGGCUGUAACAUCGAUGUGAGUCUUUUGGACGAGGUGACCACUGAUAAUGAAUCUAGUGAGAGAUACAUAGCAUGGUACUUGGGUUGGGCUCGUCCUACUAUGAUUAGGGAAAUGACUGCUGAAGAAUUGGCUCGUAAGAGGAAGAUGGCAUCGAAAGACCCAGCAACAAGUCUUAAGUUCUUUAAGGAGCAGUUGAAGACCUUUGUGAAGGUGUUGUGUUGCGCGAAAGACCGAGGAGAGCCUUUGUCGAUUGAAGAGAAAAGCAAGCACGUUGACUAUGCUUGCAAUAUUGAUAAUGAGUAUGCCCAUGAAUUGUUCAAGCAAGCUGAUGCUGAAGUAAAGAGAGAAGAAAAAGCCAAGAGGGAAGCACAAGUAAAGAUGAAUGCUGACAAAAAGAGGGCUCGUAGCGGACGUGGUGGUGAAGGUAGUAGUAGUGGUAGUGUUCCUAAACGGGGACGUGGUCGUGGUCGUGAUCAUGGUGGUGAAUGAAUGAUUUCCUAAUUUAUUUCUUUAUGUUGUGGUGGACAAAUGUUUAAGUUAAUGGUGUGGACAAAUGUUUUUUUAAGGUUUAUGGGACAUGUUUUCUUAUUUUGGACAAAAAGUGUUGGAUUUCUAGUUGUUGAAAUUAAUGGUUUGUUUAGCUAUGUAAAGUUUCAAUGUUUAUACCGGCAUGCUUUUUUUAA